This 519-nucleotide ribosomal RNA is filed under the name uncultured Glomus. Its description in RNAcentral is "SSU rRNA". It matches the Rfam family "Eukaryotic small subunit ribosomal RNA", at positions 569 to 1092 of the family's 1831-position model. Lineage: Eukaryota; Fungi; Glomeromycota; Glomeromycetes; Glomerales; Glomeraceae. The record is from RNAcentral.
AGCAGCCGCGGUAAUUCCAGCUCCAAUAGCGUAUAUUAAAGUUGUUGCAGUUAAAAGCUCGUAGUUGAAUUUCGGGGUCAGUAGGUUGGUCGUGCCACCGGUACGUACUGGUCUCACUGAUUCCUCCUUCCUGAAGAACUGUAAUGCCAUUAAUUUGGUGUUGCGGGGAAACAGGACUGUUACUUUGAAAAUUAGAGUGUUUAAAGCAGGCUAACGCUUGAAUACAUUAGCAUGGAAUAAUGAAAUAGGACGAUCGAUCCUAUUUUGUUGGUUUCUAGGAUUGACGUAAUGAUUAAUAGGGAUAGUUGGGGGCAUUAGUAUUCAAUUGUCAGAGGUGAAAUUCUUGGAUUUAUUGAAGGCUAACUACUGCGAAAGCAUUUGCCAAGGAUGUUUUCAUUAAUCAAGAACGAAAGUUAGGGGAUCGAAGACGAUCAGAUACCGUCGUAGUCUUAACCAUAAACUAUGCCGACUAGGGAUCGGAUGAUGUUAAUUUUAUAAUGACUCAUUUGGCGCCUUAAC